Callithrix jacchus (white-tufted-ear marmoset) is the source of this 103-nucleotide small nuclear RNA. The record is from Ensembl. Lineage: Eukaryota; Metazoa; Chordata; Mammalia; Primates; Cebidae.
GUGCUUCUUGUACACAUACACUAAAACUUCAAUGAUGCAAAGACGAUGAGCAUGGCCACUGCCCAAGGGUGACAUGCAAAUUCAUGAAAUGUUCUACACUAAA